This 1345-nucleotide ribosomal RNA is filed under the name uncultured bacterium. RNAcentral's name for it is "partial 16S ribosomal RNA". It matches the Rfam family "Bacterial small subunit ribosomal RNA", at positions 28 to 1381 of the family's 1533-position model. The record is from RNAcentral.
GACGAACGCUGGCGGCGUGCUUAACACAUGCAAGUCGAACGGAAAGGCCCUGCUUUUGUGGGGUGCUCGAGUGGCGAACGGGUGAGUAACACGUGAGUAACCUGCCCUUGACUUUGGGAUAACUUCAGGAAACUGGGGCUAAUACCGGAUAGGAGCUCCUGCUGCAUGGUGGGGGUGGAAAGUUUCGGCGGUUGGGGAUGGACUCGCGGCUUAUCAGCUUGUUGGUGGGGUAGUGGCUUACCAAGGCUUUGACGGGUAGCCGGCCUGAGAGGGUGACCGGCCACAUUGGGACUGAGAUACGGCCCAGACUCCUACGGGAGGCAGCAGUGGGGAAUAUUGCACAAUGGGCGGAAGCCUGAUGCAGCAACGCCGCGUGCGGGAUGACGGCCUUCGGGUUGUAAACCGCUUUCGCCUGUGACGAAGCGUGAGUGACGGUAAUGGGUAAAGAAGCACCGGCUAACUACGUGCCAGCAGCCGCGGUGAUACGUAGGGUGCGAGCGUUGUCCGGAUUUAUUGGGCGUAAAGGGCUCGUAGGUGGUUGAUCGCGUCGGAAGUGUAAUCUUGGGGCUUAACCCUGAGCGUGCUUUCGAUACGGGUUGACUUGAGGAAGGUAGGGGAGAAUGGAAUUCCUGGUGGAGCGGUGGAAUGCGCAGAUAUCAGGAGGAACACCAGUGGCGAAGGCGGUUCUCUGGGCCUUUCCUGACGCUGAGGAGCGAAAGCGUGGGGAGCGAACAGGCUUAGAUACCCUGGUAGUCCACGCUGUAAACGGUGGGUACUAGGUGUGGGGUCCAUUCCACGGGUUCCGUGCCGUAGCUAACGCUUUAAGUACCCCGCCUGGGGAGUACGGCCGCAAGGCUAAAACUCAAAGGAAUUGACGGGGCCCCGCACAAGCGGCGGAGCAUGCGGAUUAAUUCGAUGCAACGCGUAGAACCUUACCUGGGUUUGACAUGGAUCGGGAGUGCUCAGAGAUGGGUGUGCCUCUUUUGGGGUCGGUUCACAGGUGGUGCAUGGCUGUCGUCAGCUCGUGUCGUGAGAUGUUGGGUUAAGUCCCGCAACGAGCGCAACCCUUGUUCACUGUUGCCAGCACGUUAUGGUGGGGACUCAGUGGAGACCGCCGGGGUCAACUCGGAGGAAGGUGGGGAUGACGUCAAGUCAUCAUGCCCCUUAUGUCCAGGGCUUCACGCAUGCUACAAUGGCUGGUACAGAGAGUGGCGAGCCUGUGAGGGUGAGCGAAUCUCGGAAAGCCGGUCUCAGUUCGGAUUGGGGUCUGCAACUCGACCUCAUGAAGUCGGAGUCGCUAGUAAUCGCAGAUCAGCAACGCUGCGGUGAAUACGUUCCCGGGGCU